This 636-nucleotide unclassified non-coding RNA is filed under the name Amphibalanus amphitrite. RNAcentral describes it as "heterogeneous nuclear ribonucleoprotein A3 homolog 1- like, transcript variant X2". Lineage: Eukaryota; Metazoa; Arthropoda; Thecostraca; Balanomorpha; Balanidae. The record is from RNAcentral.
CCUCUAAACUAUGAAACGGUUGCGUUAGCGGUGACUGCCUGUUUUCCAGAGAUUCGCACACAAAAUGGUAUCGGUGUUUCUCGGAAAGCGUCAUUGGUUAUCCUGGCCAGUACGGCGGACGUCGUGGUUACUAUGGCAACGGCCGUGGCAGCCGAGGAUACGGACGCAGUAUGAACGGAUACAACAACGACUAUGGCUUCGGUAACGGCGCCUACCGCGGCUACGGAAAUCGUGGAAUGUACGGCGGCUACGACCGGUCUCCCUACGGCUACGGCAGCCGCGGCUACGGCAGCCGCGGCUACGGCGGGCUCGGCAGGCGCGGUGGAUCCUACGGCGGCUACGGCGGCUACGGCCGGCAGUACGGCGGGAUGGGUGCGUUCGGGGGACGUGCUGGGGCGUACGGCGGCGGCUACAGUGGGGGAUACUAUUGAGGCUCCCGUGUCUACAGCACGAAUCACACGAACCACAUCUUGAAAGGCAUUGUUUAAGUCUAUCAUGUUCUAUCAUUGGUUAUCUCUUUGUGACAGCGUCAUUGGCUGCACUUGCGUACGAAAGUGCAAACACGACUUAAUGCCAUUGCAUGAUUCGCGUUAGCAUGAUGCAAGUACGUAUGGAAAUACAUUUCUAAUGCACGAA